Molecule: long non-coding RNA, 152 nt
Organism: Oreochromis niloticus (Nile tilapia)
Lineage: Eukaryota; Metazoa; Chordata; Actinopteri; Cichliformes; Cichlidae
Exons: 2
Source: RefSeq, a predicted model, not a curated record
GGCUUUAAUAACUCCAAAGACAUGUUGCUGCACCUCUUUUUGCUUCUAUCUCACAUUAUAGGACUAACAGCUGGAGACUCAAUCACUCCUCAACAAACUGAAGUCACUGAAACAGAAGGAGAAUCUGUCAAACUCACAUGUAACUAUGAGAC